CACUCUAGAGAGACUGCCAGGGAUAACCUGGAGGAAGGUGGGGAUGACGUCAAAUCAUCAUGCCCCUUAUGCUUAGGGCUACACACGUGCUACAAUGGGUAGUACAGAGGGUUGCCAAGCCGUAAGGUGGAGCUAAUCCCUUAAAGCUACUCUUAGUUCGGAUUGUAGGCUGAAACUCGCCUACAUGAAGCUGGAGUUACUAGUAAUCGCAGAUCAGAAUGCUGCGGUGAAUGCGUUCCCGGGUCUUGUACACACCGCCCGUCACACCACGGGAGUUGGAGACGCCCGAAGCCGAUUAUCUAACCUUUUGGAAGAAGUCGUCGAAGGUGGAAUCAAUAACUGGGGUGAAGUCGUAACAAGGUAGCCGUAUCGGAAGGUGCGGCUGGAUCACCUCCUUUCUAAGGAGA
RNAcentral lists this ribosomal RNA (407 nucleotides) under Clostridioides difficile. RNAcentral describes it as "bacterial SSU rRNA". It matches the Rfam family "Bacterial small subunit ribosomal RNA", at positions 1136 to 1533 of the family's 1533-position model. The record is from RNAcentral. Lineage: Bacteria; Bacillati; Bacillota; Clostridia; Peptostreptococcales; Peptostreptococcaceae.